This is a non-coding RNA of Cordylochernes scorpioides, 74 nucleotides long. The record is from the annotation of a GenBank genome assembly. Lineage: Eukaryota; Metazoa; Arthropoda; Arachnida; Pseudoscorpiones; Chernetidae.
UCUUAGGGUAGCCUAGUGGACAUGGCAUCUGCCCGGUAAGCGGAAGGUUGUGGGUUCGAUUCCCGCCCCUGGAC